Malus domestica (apple) is the source of this 1525-nucleotide non-coding RNA. Lineage: Eukaryota; Viridiplantae; Streptophyta; Magnoliopsida; Rosales; Rosaceae. The record is from RefSeq and is a predicted model, not a curated record.
GCUUAUAUUAGAACUGAGUUUCUUUCUAUUUAGUGUGCGUAUCGGUAUUUGUCCAUUUAUGUUAGGGUUGAGAUGACUAGGCAUCCAUUUGGUCGUUUUACGUUAGAAUGGAACUGGGCAAUAGAUUAGGUUGCAAGAUAAAUUUCUAAAGUUCUACUAGCUUAGGUACAAAUUAUUUUUCAGAAAUCAAACAUGCAAAAUUUCUAUGCAUGUUUUGAAAUUGGUUGUAGGAAGUGGGCUUCCAAGUCUUAACAAUAAUGGAGACUAUGAAAUCAGGGUAACCAAUUAGGGGUAACUAUAUAUUUCAAAAACGCAAAUUUUACACGCACACACACGCACACACAUUCUAUCAAGAAUUAGUUUUGAUUGGCACAAAUGAAGAUGAACAAUAAGAGGGUUUUCUAUUCAAAUUUACUUUUUGUAAUUUUAGGGGUUUUGAUCAUACAUGUGUAUUUAAUUUGGUUUUUUUUUUAGUUUCUGGAGACUCUGGUUUUUCGUUUUUUGGGCCUUUUCUUUGCUGCCUAGAAAGCCCUCUGUGCUCAAGGAACCCUGUUUCCCCUUUUUGUCUCUCUGUGCACUCAGAAAACAAGCCACCCUAAUUGAAGCUUUCUAUCUUCAGAUCACCAGCAAUAAUCACAUCAAGGUCCCAGGAGGAAUCACGAGGAUUCACUGCCGAAUUGAUUACAGAGAUUUGGAUCAUUUGAGGAAGAAGUUGGUUCCAUACUGUUUUGAGAUAGCUUUGUUUUAUGUUGCUGUGCUUGCAGGGCUUCUCCACAGGUUCCCUGCAAACUUUACUCAGGUGCGAGCCUAUGCUUUUUUCUUUCAACCCUUUGUCUCUUUCUUUUUGUUCUAUUAAACAUGUGCUCUAUGGUUCUCAUUUAGUACACUCUUAUGUACAACAAACAGUUGGUCAGAUUAGGAACUGGGAAUCUGUUAGGCAUUUAGAACAAAAAUACAUAAAAUGAAUCAUUCCAAAGCUUCUUUAGGGACUUAUGACAUAGCAUUAGAGAUGGGAAAGAAAGUGAUAUGUCAAAGGCAUUGUGGUGUACCAUGUGCAGAUGAUUAGGGAGGGUGCAAUACCAAGUGAAGAAUUACACCUUGAGAAGAGCUCUUGGAUUGUCAAUUGUGACUGGAAAUUCUACUCCUCACAUGGAUCAUAGAAAACCAAGGAACUUGAUAGCACAUAUUUACUAAGUCAGUUACCUACUUUGCAAUGACUUCUUUCUCCCUUCUUGAUUGCCAGGUUAAAUGUCUUAUUCAUGUGGUCAAGGCUGGUGCAUUCAAGUCCCACAGCAACACGCGGGCAUUUUUUGCUAGUUAGAACUAAAUUGUGAAAGAGUGCACAAUUCGUGGGUUCCCACUACAAUUAUUCAGAGCGUAAUAAAUAGUGAGACUACGAAAGAGUAGUCAAAGCAACAAAAGGACACUCAUUACAUAAUAGUGAUAAGUUCGUACGUUUAAACAGAAGGAAAUGCCAGAACUGCCGUGAUUCCUCGAGUGCCACAGAGAGUACAGUUAUCUAGGU